UACGGAGGGUGCAAGCGUUAUCCGGAUUCACUGGGUUUAAAGGGUGUGUAGGCGGGCAUUUAAGUCAGUGGUGAAAUCCCCGGGCUCAACCUGGGAACUGCCAUUGAUACUAUUUGUCUUGAAUUCUGUUGAGGUGGGCGGAAUACAUCAUGUAGCGGUGAAAUGCUUAGAUAUGAUGUAGAACACCGAUUGCGAAGGCAGCUCACUAAGCAGCGAUUGACGCUGAGGCACGAAAGCGUGGGGAUCAAAC
This 250-nucleotide ribosomal RNA is filed under the name uncultured bacterium. RNAcentral's name for it is "partial 16S ribosomal RNA". It matches the Rfam family "Bacterial small subunit ribosomal RNA", at positions 524 to 773 of the family's 1533-position model. The record is from RNAcentral.